CGGCCGGCCGUGGAGAAGACGGGCCGCCGCUCCUCUUACCUCCCAACCAUGCCGCUCCUACGUCGUCGACCUCGAAAUGGAAGCUGCGGAGUGCUCGUGGUUGCGCCUCCGGGGUAGAGAGGGGUCAGUGGCGGCGGUGGGCGGCCGCGUCGGAGCGGAAGCUGGAGGGCCGCCAGCCGUAGUGCCUCAGGGACGGCAUGCUCGUGCGGGGACGCUUGAGGCUUGUUGGCACCAAAUCGAGCCCUGCCGCGGCCGAAUUUGGGUUUGCCGGCACUAAAUCGAGCUCUACCACUGCUGGAUUGAGUAUCCCCGACACCGAAUCGAUCUCCGCCGCGCCGCAUCGAUCUCCAGACGGAGGGGGAUCACUAGGCGGCCGCGGCGGCGGCUCGGGAUGGGGCGGCCGGGGUACGUGACGGUGCCGAUACUCACCGUGAUCGCCGCAAUCGGGUACGCCUACUACACCACGGUGUUCCUCGCGAUCCCCGCGUGGCUGGGGCUCUCCACGGCCGCUGGGGGCGCCAACGCCGCGGCCUUCACCGCGCUCGCCGCCGCCUGCGUCACCACCUACGCCGUCGCCGUGUCGCGGGACCCGGGCCGCGUGCCGGCAUCCUUCGUGCCCGACGUCGAGGACGCCGAGAGCCCCAUCCACGAGAUCAAGCGAAAGGGUGGUGAUUUGAGAUACUGCCAAAAAUGUUCCCAUUAUAAACCUCCUCGAGCGCACCAUUGCCGUGUCUGCAAAAGAUGCGUUCUGAGAAUGGACCACCACUGUAUAUGGAUUAAUAACUGUGUUGGGCACGAGAACUACAAGAUCUUUCUAGUUUUCAUUUUGUAUGCUGUAAUUGCAUCCUUCUACUCUAUGGGGGUGCUAUGCAUUUGCCUAAAGAUGAACAACCAAGCAGUGAUUCUCCUAGGACAUCUAUUAUUGUUUGCGGGGUUCUUCUGUGUCCUUUAGCUUUGGCACUGAUGGUCCUAUUGGGUUGGCAUGUUUACCUCAUCUUACACAAUAAAACUACUAUUGAGUACCAUGAAGGAGUUAGAGCUAUGUGGUUGGCUGAAAAAGCGGGAAACCUUUAUCAUCAUCCUUAUAACCUUGGAGUCUAUGAGAACCUUGUUUCGGUACUAGGUCCUAAUAUGCUCUGCUGGCUUUGCCCAUUAUCAAGGAGCAUAGGAAAUGGUGUUCGUUUCCGCACAUCAUAUGACAUUCCGCCAUCAACAUCACCAAUAUAAUGCAAACCAGAUCACUACAAGUGGUAGAUGCCCUAUUCUUUUGCAGAGUGCUGCAAUGGGAAAAUGUGUUUAGGAUACUUCAAGAAACAAGAAGAGGAGCUUCGCUGUCCUUUAAACCUCGUGGGAUCAAUCGCUAAUUAGGAUUUAGGAAUUCUAACUUAGAUUUUUGUUGCAUUUUUGUUAGAUAAACUUGAUCAAAGAAGUCAUCAUUGCUUGUGCAGUAAUCUACAGCGGGUUGUACUAUAAUACCAAAACAAGAACAGUCUGAACUCGAGGCUGGUCUUGUUGUAAAGCUAUGUUAAACUGUUGUUUCUGAAGUUCAAUGUUCUUUUGUCGGAUCAUACAUCAUAGUGAGCGAUCAA
Molecule: RNA transcript, 1589 nt
Organism: Panicum virgatum (switchgrass)
Lineage: Eukaryota; Viridiplantae; Streptophyta; Magnoliopsida; Poales; Poaceae
Gene name: probable protein S-acyltransferase 16
Exons: 7
Source: RefSeq, a predicted model, not a curated record